ACGCCUACGGGGGGCAGCAGUGGGGAAUAUUGGGCAAUGGAGGAAACUCUUACCCAGCAAUGCCGCGUGAAUGAAGAAGGUCUUCGGAUUGUAAAGUUCUUUAAUUGGGGACGAAAAAAAUGACGGUACCCAAGGAAUAAGCCCCGGCUAACUACGUGCCAGCAGCCGCGGUAAUACGUAGGGGGCAAGCGUUGUUCGGAAUGACUGGGCGUAAAGGGUGCGUAGACGGGAAAUUAAGUUAGUUGUGAAAUCCCUCGGCUUAACUGAGGAACUGCAACUAAAACUGAUUUUCUUGAGUACUGGAG
Molecule: ribosomal RNA, 305 nt
Filed under: uncultured bacterium
Lineage: Bacteria
Description: bacterial SSU rRNA
Rfam family: Bacterial small subunit ribosomal RNA
Source: RNAcentral